CAGUUUGCUUGCAAACUGGAGAUGGCGACCGGCGCACGGGUGAGUAACACGUAUCCAACCUGCCGAUAACUCGGGGAUAGCCUUUCGAAAGAAAGAUUAAUACCCGAUGGCAUAAUUAGACCGCAUGGUCUUAUUAUUAAAGAAUUUCGGUUAUCGAUGGGGAUGCGUUCCAUUAGGCAGUUGGUGAGGUAACGGCUCACCAAACCUUCGAUGGAUAGGGGUUCUGAGAGGAAGGUCCCCCACAUUGGAACUGAGACACGGUCCAAACUCCUACGGGAGGCAGCAGUGAGGAAUAUUGGUCAAUGGACGAGAGUCUGAACCAGCCAAGUAGCGUGAAGGAUGACUGCCCUAUGGGUUGUAAACUUCUUUUAUAUGGGAAUAAAGUUUUCCACGUGUGGAAUUUUGUAUGUACCAUAUGAAUAAGGAUCGGCUAACUCCGUGCCAGCAGCCGCGGUAAUACGGAGGAUCCGAGCGUUAUCCGGAUUUAUUGGGUUUAAAGGGAGCGUAGGUGGACAGUUAAGUCAGUUGUGAAAGUUUGCGGCUCAACCGUAAAAUUGCAGUUGAUACUGGCUGUCUUGAGUACAGUAGAGGUGGGCGGAAUUCGUGGUGUAGCGGUGAAAUGCUUAGAUAUCACGAAGAACUCCGAUUGCGAAG
Molecule: ribosomal RNA, 654 nt
Filed under: uncultured Bacteroidales bacterium
Lineage: Bacteria; Pseudomonadati; Bacteroidota; Bacteroidia; Bacteroidales
Description: bacterial SSU rRNA
Rfam family: Bacterial small subunit ribosomal RNA
Source: RNAcentral